UACGUAGGGUGCGAGCGUUGUCCGGAAUUAUUGGGCGUAAAGGGCGCGUAGGCGGCGUUCCAAGUUAGGCGUGAAAGUCCUGGGCUCAACCUGGGAACUGCGCUUAAGACUGGAAUGCUAGAGGAUGGAAGAGGGUUGUGGAAUUCCCAGUGUAGAGGUGAAAUUCGUAGAUAUCGGGAGGAACACCAGUGGCGAAGGCGGCGACCUGGGCCAAUAUUGACGCUGAGGUGCGAAAGCGUGGGGAGCAAACAGG
RNAcentral lists this ribosomal RNA (253 nucleotides) under uncultured bacterium. RNAcentral's name for it is "partial 16S ribosomal RNA". It matches the Rfam family "Bacterial small subunit ribosomal RNA", at positions 524 to 776 of the family's 1533-position model. The record is from RNAcentral.